GGAUUGUGGCUCAGUGGUAGUGUGCUUGCCUUGCAUGCAUGGGGCACUGGGUUUGAUCCUCAACACCA
This 68-nucleotide transfer RNA is filed under the name Marmota monax (woodchuck). Its description in RNAcentral is "tRNA.Ala". The record is from RNAcentral. Lineage: Eukaryota; Metazoa; Chordata; Mammalia; Rodentia; Sciuridae.